This 822-nucleotide long non-coding RNA is filed under the name Felis catus (domestic cat). RNAcentral describes it as "lncRNA (ENSFCAG00000053117.1)". The record is from RNAcentral. Lineage: Eukaryota; Metazoa; Chordata; Mammalia; Carnivora; Felidae.
AUCCGCGCUGGCUGGGCGUUCACAGGGGCGCAACAGCCGCAACGCCAUCCAAUUAUUGCCGGUCGUCCCCUCCAACACCGCUCUCCACCUAUAUACUCCUUUCUCUGCCCAUCGCCGCUUCCCCCCACCCACUUUUCUCUGGAGCGGACCGACCUACCUACUCCAGCUCAGCCCGUCUCCGCUUCCCCCCACCCACUUUCCUCCGAGCGGACGGAGCCGAGGGGGCGGGGGCUCCCUCCCGGGAGUGUUUCUAGAGCUCCGAGGCAGCUAGUAGGGGUUUCAUUGUCCGCAUGUUUAAAGUCUAAUAGAAAAAAAAAAUCUCUGGAUAUGAAGUUGGGAGAUAGAUCCAAGUCUACAUCUACGUCCUCAUGUUGGUGACCUUGGGGCACCACUUUCAGAUAAAAACAUAGACCUGAAUGGCAUCAUCCAGUAUCCAAGGAAACCAUGUAAGUACCUCUCUCACUGUGUACUUCUCUUAUUCAGAGUUUAAAAGCUAGCUGAGUACUGAAUAAGUGAGUGUUUUUAUUUAAUAAUUAUACGGGAGGUACUUUUUAGGAGCUUGCUAAAAAGAAACAGGUUCUUGAUUGUUAUGUGCGUCAUAACAAAACCCUUAUGUUUUUCAUCAUGUUUCAUAAAAUUAUGUGUUUAGUCGCAAUCUCUCCAUCAAUUCUCAUUCUUAGGUACAAAACAGCUACUCAAAGUCAUAAUGAAUUGAGAGUUUCAAACUUUUCCAAGACCCAUUAGUGUCUGAGAAACAAUGUUUCAGAGGCCUUGUGCCAGGAGUAGUGACCUAAUUGUAAUAAACACUUUUUAAAUUUUACA